RNAcentral lists this long non-coding RNA (1448 nucleotides) under Vigna radiata. Its description in RNAcentral is "long non-coding RNA (VRAD_LNC011873)". Lineage: Eukaryota; Viridiplantae; Streptophyta; Magnoliopsida; Fabales; Fabaceae. The record is from RNAcentral.
AGCAUCGUAAGUCAGAAACUUUCUUUUAAGAAGAGAAAUGCUUUCCUUUAAAAGAUAUAGGAGAAGUGUGAAGACCUAUUAUUGAUUGAUACUCUAUAAUUGGCUAAGGUAUGGGAAGCUUACCUUUAUUUUAUUGUGUGAUGAAUUUAGAGAUAGCUUUGAUUUCUUGGAAAGCAUGAAAAAACGUAUAUUUGUUAUUUUAUUUGAUGAUGUGAUGAAUGUUGAUAUAUUCUUAAAUUAUUUGAUUAUGCAAUCAAUUAUUUGGAUGACUGUUAAAUAAAAGUUUGAAUGUUUAGAAUCCAUGAUUGGAUAUUUGUACGUAUGAAAUUGAUAAAUAUCAGUUUAUCCUUUUUUUUGGUUUAUGAUUCUGUCACACACAUAACAUUGAUUUCCUUUUAAUACAUGUAUAAUUUUUGAAUAUUAAAAGGGGAAUUGUGGUUUAAUGGCCGUUGGAAGCAUUUGGGGUGGAACCUUAAAUUACUGUGGAGAGAGAAACCCUAAGUUUCUUUCCUUUUAUUUGCUUUUCCCUUAAAAAGGAAAAUGAUUGUAUUACAGUAGGUUUUUAUUCAUGUUGCUUACCUUUUUGAUAAAAUAAAGAAAAAUAAAAUAAGAAUAGUUUAACAAAUGGCAGUAACGUAAUGAUGCUAUCUUACAUUUCUUUAGUAAAUAAUGGUAUACGUUAGGAUGAAAUCCUAGAUCAAGUUCUGCAUUUUAACGUUUCUAAGCAGAACCUUCUCCCAGCUUUGAGUUCCUUUCUCGCGAGCAGUAGGUAUGCUCCUUUUGUUUUUAUCAUGCGUAACCCAGAAGCCUGAAGUUGCUGCUUUUUUUCUUCACUGCGACUGACUCAACGUCGGCGAGAGCACGACGACGGCGCGGUAGAGGCACGUUGAGGGCACGACAUUCCCUCAUAGCAGUGUGUGUUGGUGGCGACUUUUAUGGUUCACGGGCAGAGGCUUUGGGUUUUGGGUGUUCACCAAAUUUUUGGAUUGCUUUUUCGGGUUUGGGUUGGUUUUAAUCUUCUACAGGUCUGGUUUUCUUGAUUGGGAUUGGGGUUCUGAUGGAGAUGGUUAGGGUUUUGAAUUGGAAAAAUUAUUUUAGGGUAAUCGUUGUUCGUGUUAUGUUUCUUCGUUUACUUCGGUGUAUCUGUACCUACUGUGAAGAGGAAUUGAGGUUGAGCGAGGAUGAACAAGAACGUAUUUUUGGCCUACGACCAAGUUGCUCUCGGUCUGGGCCGCCUAAGUGAGUUUGUAGACUCAAAGUUGAAAUUGGGAUUAGUCUUUGAUUUCGUAAUUGAGUCUGUAGACUCCCAGAAUGCACUCUAUUUAGUUUUGAAUUUUUAAUGGUAGAAAAGAAAAAUUAAAAAUUCAAUAAUAUCAAUAAUAAUCAGAAUUUUUAACUGGACUGGUUAUACUUACAGGUUCAGUGGUUGGAUUUAAUCUGGGAUGUGU